CAAGAGGACUUCUUGGAGGGCGACUUACCCUGAGAUCCUAGAAAGAAUUGGACUCUUAAGAUUGAGAUUCAAAGACUGAGUACCAGCUGGUCCUUCACAAUCUGGAAAAAAAGAUCCAAGUCGAAGCUUCCCAGCCAAAAUGCAAUUAGUCCCAGUUCCUCAUUAUGAUCUUUGCAAAUGCUAUUUGCAUAUCAUUAACAUUACCGCCAUAUUGCCCCAUCAAUAAACAACGACAGCUGUCGCUCCUCUCAGAGCCGGUUUGUGAAGCCCAUGAGCGAGAGGGCUUCCUGCUCAAUGAUA
This is a long non-coding RNA of Ahaetulla prasina, 300 nucleotides long. RefSeq lists it as uncharacterized. The record is from RefSeq and is a predicted model, not a curated record. The transcript has 3 exons. Lineage: Eukaryota; Metazoa; Chordata; Lepidosauria; Squamata; Colubridae.